This 81-nucleotide transfer RNA is filed under the name archaeon. RNAcentral describes it as "tRNA-Leu". It matches the Rfam family "tRNA". Rfam says of the family: Transfer RNA (tRNA) molecules are approximately 80 nucleotides in length. Their secondary structure includes four short double-helical elements and three loops (D, anti-codon, and T loops). The record is from RNAcentral.
GCGGGGGUCGCAUAGUCCGGCAAUUGCGCCGCGCUCAAGACCCGACCAAUCCCUUCGAGAGUUCGAAUCUCUCCCCCCGCA